RNAcentral lists this ribosomal RNA (468 nucleotides) under uncultured bacterium. RNAcentral describes it as "partial 16S ribosomal RNA". It matches the Rfam family "Bacterial small subunit ribosomal RNA", at positions 28 to 507 of the family's 1533-position model. The record is from RNAcentral.
GACGAACGCUGGCGGCGUGCUUAACACAUGCAAGUCGAACGGAAAGGCCCUGCUUUUGUGGGGUGCUCGAGUGGCGAACGGGUGAGUAACACGUGAGUAACCUGCCCUUGACUUUGGGAUAACUUCAGGAAACUGGGGCUAAUACCGGAUAGGAGCUCCUGCUGCAUGGUGGGGGUUGGAAAGUCUCGGCGGUUGGGGAUGGACUCGCGGCUUAUCAGCUUGUUGGUGGGGUAGUGGCUUACCAAGGCUUUGACGGGUAGCCGGCCUGAGAGGGUGACCGGCCACAUUGGGACUGAGAUACGGCCCAGACUCCUACGGGAGGCAGCAGUGGGGAAUAUUGCACAAUGGGCGGAAGCCUGAUGCAGCAACGCCGCGUGCGGGAUGACGGCCUGCGGGUUGUAAACCGCUUUCGCCUGUGACGAAGCGUGAGUGACGGUAAUGGGUAAAGAAGCACCGGCUAACUACGUG